This 778-nucleotide long non-coding RNA is filed under the name Anser brachyrhynchus (Pink-footed goose). RNAcentral's name for it is "lncRNA (ENSABRG00000014893.1)". Lineage: Eukaryota; Metazoa; Chordata; Aves; Anseriformes; Anatidae. The record is from RNAcentral.
CUUAAACAAAACUGUGGGAUUUUUAGUCCCUAGUUUGGCCCUAGUUGUGCUUAUCUGUGGGUACCAGUGGACCUUGGCCCAUGCAUGGACCUUCUGGCUUAGUUGCAGGCCUGCCCUGUCACUAUGGGCCUGUCUAGUAGUCUCUGGACUUUCUCUCAUCAUGAUGUUGAGCUGUGGAUUGACCACCCAGCUUGACUUCAUACCUGUGUCAUCAGUGUGGACUUUCCUGCUAACUGGGGCUUGUGGUUGAAGCUGGCUCCUGUUCCUAGAGCUGCACUGCUAUUCUGAUGUAGUACUCUGGGAUAGGCUCUGUCCAGCCCUCAGUUCCUGCCUCUCCAUCCUGCUGGGAGAAGAUGUGGAUUAGUCAAGACGACACUAAAGUCAUCCAACCUGAAGCAGGAGUCUGGGAGCUCAUUCUGGUUGCAGCCUUCCUGUUGGGACUGGGGAGAAUUCUGCAGAGAAAUAGGCCAACUAAGCGAUUUAGUUUUCUUUUAAUUCUUGUUUGUCUCAUGGUGUUACCAUAUGGAGGAGGCACACAGCAGUUUGUAACAGACACCUGUGCAGCUUUUGUUUUAAGGAAGCACGUGGGCUGGACAGCAGACCAGGAUAUCCUUCAAGUCUGACUUAUGCUAAGGCAAGGAGCCAAAAGUAGUCCUAAACCUGCCUUAGUGGGCUGACGGAGACUUCACUCAGCACUUCUGAAAUGUCUGCUGGCUUUGGAGCACUGUUCCCAAGAAACCCAGCAAGGAAGGCUACCAGUGAAAGAAAUCUGGGCAAG